RNAcentral lists this ribosomal RNA (490 nucleotides) under uncultured bacterium. RNAcentral's name for it is "partial 16S ribosomal RNA". It matches the Rfam family "Bacterial small subunit ribosomal RNA", at positions 30 to 507 of the family's 1533-position model. The record is from RNAcentral.
AUUGAACGCUGGCGGCAGGCCUAACACAUGCAAGUCGAACGGUAACAGGAAGAAGCUUGCUUCUUUGCUGACGAGUGGCGGACGGGUGAGUAAUGUCUGGGAAACUGCCUGAUGGAGGGGGAUAACUACUGGAAACGGUAGCUAAUACCGCAUAACGUCGCAAGACCAAAGAGGGGGACCUACGGGCCUCUUGCCAUCGGAUGUGCCCAGAUGGGAUUAGCUAGUAGGUGGGGUAACGGCUCACCUAGGCGACGAUCCCUAGCUGGUCUGAGAGGAUGACCAGCCACACUGGAACUGAGACACGGUCCAGACUCCUACGGGAGGCAGCAGUGGGGAAUAUUGCACAAUGGGCGCAAGCCUGAUGCAGCCAUGCCGCGUGUAUGAAGAAGGCCUUCGGGUUGUAAAGUACUUUCAGCGGGGAGGAAGGGAGUAAAGUUAAUACCUUUGCUCAUUGACGUUACCCGCAGAAGAAGCACCGGCUAACUCCGUG